CGGGGGAGGCCGGAUCCUGGGCUGUGUCCCGGCGCCCUGUGCUCAGGAACCUGUGCUGUUGGAUUCGCGCUCCCGCCCCGCAGCCCCCU
RNAcentral lists this microRNA precursor (89 nucleotides) under Canis lupus familiaris (dog). RNAcentral describes it as "mir-8799 microRNA precursor family". It matches the Rfam family "mir-8799 microRNA precursor family". Lineage: Eukaryota; Metazoa; Chordata; Mammalia; Carnivora; Canidae. The record is from Rfam by way of RNAcentral. RNAcentral also lists the same sequence under 1 other name.